GACGAACGCUGGCGGCGCGCCUAACACAUGCAAGUCGAACGAGCGAGCGAGAGCUUGCUUUCUCAAGCGAGUGGCGAACGGGUGAGUAACGCGUGAGGAACCUGCCUCAAAGAGGGGGACAACAGUUGGAAACGACUGCUAAUACCGCAUAAGCCCACGACCCGGCAUCGGGUAGAGGGAAAAGGAGCAAUCGGCUUUGAGAUGGCCUCGCGUCCGAUUAGCUAGUUGGUGAGGUAACGGCCCAGCAAGGCGACGAUCGGUAGCCGGACUGAGAGGUUGAACGGCCACAUUGGGACUGAGACACGGCCCAGACUCCUACGGGAGGCAGCAGUGGAGAGUAUUGCGCGAUGGGGGAAAAUCUGAUGCAGCGACGCCGCGUAGAAGAAGAAGGUCUUCGGAUUGUAAACUCCUGUUGUUGGAAAAGAUAAUGACGGUACUCAACAAGGAAGUGACGGCUAACUACGUG
RNAcentral lists this ribosomal RNA (466 nucleotides) under uncultured bacterium. Its description in RNAcentral is "partial 16S ribosomal RNA". It matches the Rfam family "Bacterial small subunit ribosomal RNA", at positions 28 to 507 of the family's 1533-position model. The record is from RNAcentral.